Long non-coding RNA from Portunus trituberculatus (swimming crab), 960 nucleotides. RefSeq lists it as uncharacterized. The transcript has 3 exons. The record is from RefSeq and is a predicted model, not a curated record. Lineage: Eukaryota; Metazoa; Arthropoda; Malacostraca; Decapoda; Portunidae.
GGCCCGCUCACAGAAAACUAGGAGCGUCGGGCCAGGCAACACCUCUGCUGCGUGUAGUGCGUGGGGUAACCUUUUUACCGUCACGCCACGACUUCUCAACUGUGCAGGAAAGGCGCGAACAACCACAAUCCCAGUUAAGUACAUGUAACGGUUGUGGCGCCGCAGCAGCUGCUGGGACUUGCACCGUGAGCUGCAUGUAUGACGGACGGUCCCUGGGCAUUCCCGGCGGCGCUUCACUGCAGUGGUGACAUUGAAGGGAGGAAUUGGAGACGCUGCCUUGCACCACUGCUCUCCUGACAACACUGCCUUCCAAGGAGGGAGGGAUGGACGCUCGCACUUCCUCAUUGCUCCAAAUUUCCCAUACUUGCAUCUGCAGCUUGAGAGGGAGGCCUGACUUUUCAACUCGCUCAUCACUGUCCUGCCAUCCAAGGAGGGAAGGACGGACAUUCUCACUUCCUCGCUACCCUAUCCUGCCCAUACCUACAUGCUGUAGCCUGAGCAGGACAGACUUGUACAUGCAGCUGCCAGGGACAGGAUAGACUUCCACAUCGCUCAUCACUCGGCCACUGCCCUGCCAGCUAUGUGGAGACUGCCUUACUUCGUCCUGCUAAUGCUACCACUGCCCGGGAGAGGAUUGACUUCACAUCGCUCAUCACUCCUGUUGCGUGUUAUGGGGAGACUACUGCCUCGCCUCGUCCUGCUAAUGCUACCGUUCUGUUGUAAUCAAUUUUGCCUUGUUUUGUGAAAUACUAACAUGAAACUGGUGUAGCAGUAAGUAAUAAAAAAAAUAAUAAAGAAAAUGGCUGAUUGUUUUUUUAAAACGCUCCAGCAGAUUUGGGUAACUGAAAUGACUGCUAUAUUUAACUGUUAGCCACGUAUCCACUAUUUAAGUAUGGUUAAUUAAUUAUGAUGCUCACUGAAUUAUGCAAAUACACCGAAUAAUAAAUUGCCUCAAAAUUU